AGUGAACGCUGGCGGUAGGCCUAACACAUGCAAGUCGAACGGCAGCACAGAGGAGCUUGCUCCUUGGGUGGCGAGUGGCGGACGGGUGAGGAAUACAUCGGAAUCUACUCUGUCGUGGGGGAUAACGUAGGGAAACUUACGCUAAUACCGCAUACGACCUACGGGUGAAAGCAGGGGAUCUUCGGACCUUGCGCGAUUGAAUGAGCCGAUGUCGGAUUAGCUAGUGGGCGGGGUAAAGGCCCACCAAGGCGACGUUCCGUAGCUGGUCUGCACGGAUAAUCAGCCACAGUGGAACUGAGACACGGUCCAGACUCCUACGGGAGGCAGCAGUGGGGAAUAUUGGACAAUGGGCGCAAGCCUGAUCCAGCCAUACCGCGUGGGUGAAGAAGGCCCUCGGGUUGUAAAGCCCUUUUGUUGGGAAAGAAAUCCAUCUGGUUAAUACCCGGGUGGGAUGACGGUACCCAAAGAAUAAGCACCGGCUAACUUCGUGCCAGCAGCCGCCGUAA
RNAcentral lists this ribosomal RNA (506 nucleotides) under uncultured bacterium. Its description in RNAcentral is "partial 16S ribosomal RNA". It matches the Rfam family "Bacterial small subunit ribosomal RNA", at positions 29 to 523 of the family's 1533-position model. The record is from RNAcentral.